CCUACGGGUGGCUGCAGUAGGGAAUAUUGCACAAUGGGCGCAAGCCUGAUGCAGCCAUGCCGCGUGUGUGAAGAAGGCCUUCGGGUUGUAAAGCACUUUCAGCGGGGAGGAAGGCGGUGAGGUUAAUAACCUCAUCGAUUGACGUUACCCGCAGAAGAAGCACCGGCUAACUCCGUGCCAGCAGCCGCGGUAAUACGGAGGGUGCAAGCGUUAAUCGGAAUUACUGGGCGUAAAGCGCACGCAGGCGGUCUGUCAAGUCGGAUGUGAAAUCCCCGGGCUCAACCUGGGAACUGCAUUCGAAACUGGCAGGCUAGAGUCUUGUAGAGGGGGGUAGAAUUCCAGGUGUAGCGGUGAAAUGCGUAGAGAUCUGGAGGAAUACCGGUGGCGAAGGCGGCCCCCUGGACAAAGACCGACGCUCAGGUGCGAAAGCGUGGGGAGCAAACAGGAUUAGAUACCCGUGUAGUC
RNAcentral lists this ribosomal RNA (465 nucleotides) under uncultured Klebsiella sp. Its description in RNAcentral is "bacterial SSU rRNA". It matches the Rfam family "Bacterial small subunit ribosomal RNA", at positions 338 to 795 of the family's 1533-position model. Lineage: Bacteria; Pseudomonadati; Pseudomonadota; Gammaproteobacteria; Enterobacterales; Enterobacteriaceae. The record is from RNAcentral.